GUAGUAUUUACAGGAACAGAAAGCAGCAUUAAAAGGACUCCUCCCAAACAACUUAAGGGAAGUUUAGAAGUAGGAGAAGAUAGCAACAAAAAACACCAGGAGCAGAUGCUGACUUAAGGAGGUUUUGCCAAUUUGGUGUUGGUUCGGGGAUGAAACGUGAGUCGCUCAAGACGAAGCCCGAUGACUUGCCGGGUUAAACUACGAGGCGGUGAGAAGCAGAGAAGGAGUGGGUAGGACAUGACCUGAACUGUUGGACGGAUAAACAGCUUGGCUUGUUCUCUGAAAAACCGACGCAUCCAUUUGCCGUUUUGGAGCUCUUCAGUCCUUUUAGCUGCUGUUGCCGCUACAGGCUUUUAUGGAAAAUGAGCACCCUGUUACAUAUCAAACAAAG
Notolabrus celidotus (New Zealand spotty) is the source of this 391-nucleotide long non-coding RNA. RefSeq lists it as uncharacterized. The transcript is spliced from 3 exons. NCBI's taxonomy places the organism in Eukaryota, Metazoa, Chordata, Actinopteri, Labriformes, Labridae. The record is from RefSeq and is a predicted model, not a curated record.